CCUACGGGAGGCAGCAGUGAGGAAUAUUGGUCAAUGGGCGCAAGCCUGAACCAGCCAAGUCGCGUGAGGGAGUACGGCCCUACGGGUUGUAAACCUCUUUUGCCGGGGAGCAAGGGGCGUCACGUGUGGCGGCCCGGAGAGUACCCGGAGAAAAAGCAUCGGCUAACUCCGUGCCAGCAGCCGCGGUAAUACGGAGGAUGCGAGCGUUAUCCGGAUUUAUUGGGUUUAAAGGGUGCGUAGGCGGCACGUUAAGUUAGUGGUAAAAUAUUGGGGCUUAACCCCUCUACGCCAUUGAUACUGGCGCUCUAGAGAAGAAGCGAAGUAUGCGGAAUGAGUUGUGUAGCGGUGAAAUGCAUAGAUAUCACGCAGAACCCCGAUUGCGAAGGCAGCAUGCCGGAUUCCGACUGACGCUGAAGCACGAAAGCGUGGGUAUCGAACAGGAUUAGAUACCCUUGUAGUC
This 460-nucleotide ribosomal RNA is filed under the name uncultured bacterium. RNAcentral describes it as "partial 16S ribosomal RNA". It matches the Rfam family "Bacterial small subunit ribosomal RNA", at positions 338 to 795 of the family's 1533-position model. The record is from RNAcentral.